UUGCAUACAGGCAACUAAAAAGUUAAAUCAAACCGCAUCAAAUUUCCCAUUUCCUCAUUAUCCCAAUUUGGUCAUUCCAUACUCAAGCUUAGGGUUUUAUAAAGUUCCAAAAGCUAAAACAAUAAGGCAUGACCUUUUUCAAUUCUAACCCUUCAAACCAUACUUAAAACCAAAACUUGAAACAACCUAGAUUGGAGACCAUAAACAAAAACCAAAACAAUGGAUCAAAAAGAUAUUUUUGAUCAACAUGAACCCAAUAUAAAAAAUAGUUCAGAUUAGAGGUGAAGCAAAACUAACUUGUAAAAUAAACAAGAAAAGGGAGUGAGCUGCUUAAGAGUGAAACCAAUGAGAAAGCCGAAAACAGAAAAAUGUCUUUCCCCUCAAUGUCUUGUCGAAUCAACGUGUUUUGGGAUGAUGGGAUGCUAAAUCACAACACAGGCAAAGAGGUGUUCGAUACAGAGAUGAAUCCUGGGUCGGGGUGGUAAUGAAGGGGAAAGAGAAGGGUAAGAGGGUUUAGCAAAGUGCUGGGAUGUGAAAAGGAGAAAGAUUGGAAAAUGUCUUACGAAAAAAAUAAAGGUAACAUAUUUUCCUAAAAAAAG
Molecule: long non-coding RNA, 599 nt
Filed under: Gossypium raimondii (Peruvian cotton)
Lineage: Eukaryota; Viridiplantae; Streptophyta; Magnoliopsida; Malvales; Malvaceae
Description: long non-coding RNA (GRAI_LNC002956)
Source: RNAcentral